GCUAAAAAAAUGAGUCUGCGUACUAUUAGCUAGUUGGUGAGGUAAAUGCUUACCAAGGCGAUGAUGGUUAUCCGGCCUGAGAGGGUGAUCGGACACAUUGGGACUGAGAUACGGCCCUAACUCCUACGGGAGGCAGCAGUGGGGAAUUUUGCGCAAUGGGCGAAAGCCUGACGCAGCAACGCCGCGUGGAGGAUGAAGAUCUUUGGAUUGUAAACUUCUGUUGAUCGGGAAGAAAAGUCAAUGGUUAAUACCCAUUGUAAUGACGUUACCGAUAAAGAAAGCACCGGCUAAUCUCGUGCCAGCAGCCGCGGUAAUACGAGAGGUGCAAGCGUUAUUCGGAAUUAUUGGGCGUAAAGGGCGCGUAGGCGGUGCCAUAAGUUUUUCGUUUAAUUCUUCGGCCUAACUGGAGAAAUGCGAAGAAGACUGUGGUGCUAGAGUAUAAUAGAGAG
This 449-nucleotide ribosomal RNA is filed under the name uncultured bacterium. Its description in RNAcentral is "bacterial SSU rRNA". It matches the Rfam family "Bacterial small subunit ribosomal RNA", at positions 217 to 658 of the family's 1533-position model. The record is from RNAcentral.